CUUUGGAGGAGUGGAAAUGCCUGAACCCUGCACAGAGGGCUUUAUACAGGGAAGUGAUGUUGGAGAACUACAGGAACCUGGAGUUUGUGGAUAGCUCUUUAAAAUCCAUGAUGGAGUUCUCAUCAACUGGGCACGGUAAUACAGGAGAAGUGAUUCACACAGGGACGUUGCAAAUACAUGAAAGUCAUCACACUGGAGAUUUUUGCUUCCCAGAAAUCAAGAAAGAUAUUCAUCACUUUGAGUUUCAGUGGCAAGAAAUUUAAAGAAAUGGCCAUGAAGCACCCAUGACAGAAACCAAAGAGUUGACAGGUAGUACAGACUGACGUGAUCAAAGACAUGCUGGAAACAAGCCUAUUAAAGAUCAGCUUGGAUCAAGCUUUCAUUCGCAUCUGCCUGAACUCCACAUGUUUCAGACCCAAGGGAAAAUUGGUAAUCAAGUGGAGAAGUCUAUCAAUGAUGCUUCCUCAGCUUCAACAUCCCAAAUAAUUUGUAGGCUCAAAACCCAUAUUUCUAUUAAGUAUGGGAAGAAUUUCCUCUAUUCUUCAUUAUUCACACAAAUACAAGAAGUACACAUGAGGGAAAAACCUUUCCAAUGUAAUGAGUGUGGCAAAGCCUUUAAUCAUAGCUCAUGUUUAAGGAGACAUCACGUAACCCAUUCAGGAGAGAAACAGUAUAAAUGUGAUGUAUGUGGCAAAGUCUUUCAUCAGAAGCAAUACCUUGCAUGGCACCAUAGUGUUCAUACUGGAGAAAAACCUUACAAGUGUAAUGAGUGUUCCAAGACCUUCAAUCAGAAGUCAUCCCUUCAGUGUCAUCAUAGACUUCAUACUGUACAGAAACAUUACAAAUGUGAAGAAUGCAACAAAGUUUAGAGUUGAGGAUCACAACUUGAAACACACAGGAGAAUUCAUACUGGAGAAAAACCAUACAAACGUAAGGUUUGUGACAAGGCUUUCUGGGAUAAUUCAUGCCUUUCAUGCCGUAAGAGUUCAUACUGGAGAGAAAUGUUACACAUGUAACGAAUGUGGCAAGGCUUUUAGUAGAAAAGCAAACCUUGCACAUCAUGGACUUCAUACUGGAGGGAAAUCUUACAAAUGUAAGGGUUGUGACAAGGUUUUCCACCAUGAUUUAUGCCUUGCACAACAUCAGAGAGUUCAUACUGGAGAGAACCUUACACAUUUCACGAGUAUGGAAAGACCUUUGCUCAAAAUUCAGCCCUUGUAAUGCAUAAGGCAAUUCAUACUGGAAAGAAACCUUACACAUGUAAUGAAUGUGGCAAGGUUUUUAGUAGAAAAGCACACCUUGCAUGUCAUCAUAGACUUCAUACUGUCUAAGGUUUCUAAUCAACAAUCAAACCUUGCACAACAUCAGAGAGUUUAUACUGGAGAGAAACCUUACAAGUGUAAUGAGUGGGGCAAAGCCUUAAGUGGGAAGUCGUCACUUUUUUAUCAUCAAGCAAUCCAUGGUGUAGGGAAACUUUGCAAAUGUAAUGAUUGUCACAAAGUCUUCAGUAAUGCUACAACCAUUGCAAAUCACUGGAGAAUCCAUAAUGAAGACAGAUCUUACAAGUGUAAUAAAUGUGGUAAAAUUUUCAGACAUCGAUCAUAUCUUGCAGUUUAUCAGCGAACUCAUACUGGAGAGAAACCUUACAAAUAUCAUGACUGUGGCAAGGUCUUCAGUCAAGCUUCAUCCUAUGCAAAACAUAGGAGAAUUCAUACAGGAGAGAAACCUCACAAGUGUGAUGAUUGUGGCAAAGUCUUGACUUCACGUUCACACCUCAUUAGACAUCAGAGAAUCCAUACUGGACAGAAAUCUUACAAAUGUCUUAAGUGUGGCAAGGUCUUCAGUCUGUGGGCACUCCAUGCAGAACAUCAGAAAAUUCAUUUUUGAGAUAACUGUUCCAAAUACAGUGACUAUAGAAGAUCAUAAAGCUUUAAUUGACAUUAGAGCCAAAUAGGCAUUGACUUGAGAUUGAGUUGACUUAACCUUGAGUUUAAGAAUUAAUUUACAUUAAAGUGUUUAUGUUAAGAAGAUUGGGCCAGGUGGGGUGGCUCAUGCCUGUAAUCCCAGCACUUUGGGAGCCCAAGGCUGAUAGAUCACAGCCACACCUGGCUAUGAGAGUGUGUAGGUGGCCGUUGGGGUGGGACCUGAUUAGAAGGGGCAGGGCCUUGAACAGAAUCUGGGCGGGGCAAGAAUGAGGAGGCUGCCUGGAGGCCGGGCCAGAGGGUGAUCGUCAUCUUGAGGGCAAGGUCUGGAAGUGGUGUUUUGAAGGGCAGGGUCUCGAGGGGGCGGGUCCUGGCUUUCUCCUCAGCUGGACCCCAGGUGUCGUCUGCUGUCAUCCUCUUGCCCUGCAGGACUAGAUUCUCCGGGUACUAAUUGGUGGAUAGUUUCUGAUGUGCCGUGAUAUUACCCCUAAUAUCACAGGGAUGCCUCCUGUCCAUUUUAGAGACUUGCUCUGUCGCCCAGGCUGGAGGGCAGUGGCGCGAUCUCGGCUCAUUGCAAGCUCCGCCUCCCGGGUUCAUGCCAUUCUCCUGCCUCAGCCUCCCGAGUAGCUGGGACUACAGGCGCCCGCCACCAUGCCUGGCUAAUUUUUUGUAUUUUCAGUAGAGACGGGGUUUCACUGUGUUAGCCAGGAUGGUCUCGAUCUCCUGACCUCGUGAUCCGCCCGCCUCGGCCUCCCAAAGUGCUGGGAUUACAGGCGCGAGCCACCGCGCCCGGCCCCUAAGUUAAUAUUUCAAACAAUCGAAGGUAAAACAACAUAUUGUGUUGGGCCACCUGUACUGAACGCUGAAUCGUUUUUCCUCUUAAGUUGAAAAUGGUUUUAAUGCAAAGCGCCUUUUUUGAGCAGGUAGAGUCACGCAUCCGGCAGGCGGGGCGAGCUCCCCUCUGUCUGGGGCAGGGUGGGGGAGAGGGGCAGGGACCUCGGUAAAGGGGUGGAGUGGCGCGCUGGUUGCCGCGGGCACUGGCAAUUAGAAGGGAUUAUUAAACUAAGCAAGGUCCUGGGUUGUUUGAGUGGAUAAUGGAAACUGAAAGGUGACGUGCAAAACUGCCUAUUACUCCCAGGAGUGGAGGAUAAUUUCAUAUUUCAUGGAAAUAAACUCAGGGCCCGGAGCGGUGGCUCACACCUGUAAUCCCAGCACUUUGAGAGGCCAAGGAGGGAGGAUCGCUUAAGCCCAGGAAUUCGAAAUCAGCCUAGGCAACAUAGUAAGACCUCAUCUCUACUAAAAAUAAAAAAAAACAGCCAGGUGUGUUAGUCCACACCUGUGGUCCCAGCUGCUUGGGGUGCUGAGGUGGGAGGAUCACUUGAGCCAGAAAGUUGGAGGCUGCAGUGAGCUCUGAUCUUGCCACCACACUCCAGCCUGGGUGAAAAAGCUAGACCCUGUCUCAAACAAGCAAAUAAAUGAGAGGUAUAAGUCCUCCUUUAAAAGUAAAGGAAGAGAUUUUUCUUUCCUUUUGUCUCUUAGAACAUUCAAUUAGAAAAUUUGUAAAUUCAUUUUCUCUGUCUUCUGAGGUUUUUUUUUUUAGACAGAGUUUUUCUCUUGUUACCCAGGCUUGAGUGCAAGCCACGAUCUCGCCUCACCACAACCUCCGUCUCCCGAGUUCAAGCGAUUCUCCUGCCUCAGCUUCCCGAGUAGCUGGGAUUACAGGUAUGAACCACUAUGCCCGGCUAACUUUGUUUUUUUUUUUUAGAAAUUAAACCUUUUUUCAGCUUAAUGACCCAGGGGUGUAUUUUUGAAGGACUUGGGAGCUCUCUUUGAAAGGCAAACAACAAGGGAAACAGUACCUUUAUCUCAGUAGGAAAUUAAAUAAUUCAAACAUCAAAUAACUUCAAUUUAAGGCUAUGGACUUUGAGAUAAUUCUGAGCCUUGAGAGGAAUGUGGUCAGGCAACCUGAGUCCAGUGGAAUGCAGGUGCAACUUCUAAGAGUUUUCCUGUAAGUAAUUAAGAAGACUAAGUAGCCCCAGAGAUAAGACCUCCUCGGAUCAUUGUCCCUUCUUAUGUAGUGAUAAAGUAACCUUCCUUGAAGUGUAUCUAUCCGUAAUCAAUCAAGUUGCUGCAGCCUAUGCACUGGCCCAGAAUAAAAAACGUGGUGAUUCUGCUAAAGCUUCUCUGUCUUUCCCUGUGUGUGAAAUCUUAACGUCUCUACUUGGGAACGCUGAUCCCAUUCAUUUAGAGUUGAUGUUUCCACGUGGCUAUUUCCAAGCUUUGCCUUCAAAUAAAUUCUGUACUUAAUCAUAUAUUCUAAAUUUUAUUAUUUACUGCUGACAUCAGUUUCUGUCGGAUUGUAGGAGCCUCACCAGAGAGGGCCCCUGUCGCCAUGUUGUAAAACUCACACUUGCCAAAAGUUGUGGGUUAGGGUUUCUCCCCCUCCCUCAGGAUGACGCUAGUUAGCUGACACAGAUGGUCACCUCCAUUACCAAGUAGAGUCAGGAUGAACUAUGUGUGACUGUUCAACUAUGUGUCCUCUUCCCUGAGGACUGAUUAGUGUUUAUCUUGAAAACAUGUCCUUAAUGGGUUGUAUAGAACACUGAAGCAUCUGAUUUCAAACUCUUAGCUCUUUUCCUCUAUUUCCCAUCACAUUCUGGUCUAAGGCUUAUUUAUUAAUAAAAUGAUUUUUAUUUCUUUAUUA
Molecule: long non-coding RNA, 4626 nt
Filed under: Homo sapiens (human)
Lineage: Eukaryota; Metazoa; Chordata; Mammalia; Primates; Hominidae
Description: non-protein coding lnc-ZNF701-1:7
Source: RNAcentral